Molecule: ribosomal RNA, 206 nt
Filed under: uncultured bacterium
Lineage: Bacteria
Description: partial 16S ribosomal RNA
Rfam family: Bacterial small subunit ribosomal RNA
Source: RNAcentral
UAACACGUAGGAACGUACCCCAAAGCGAGGGAUAAGCAUCAGAAAUGGUGUCUAAUACCGCAUGUGCUCUAAGGAGUAAAGCUUCGGCGCUUUGGGAGCGGCCUGCGCAUGAUUAGCUUGUUGGUGAGGUAAUAGCUCACCAAGGCGACGAUCAUUAGCUGGUCUGAGAGGAUGAUCAGCCAGACUGGGACUGAGACACGGCCCAG